RNAcentral lists this ribosomal RNA (694 nucleotides) under Lacticaseibacillus rhamnosus. RNAcentral describes it as "partial 23S ribosomal RNA". It matches the Rfam family "Bacterial large subunit ribosomal RNA", at positions 2233 to 2925 of the family's 2925-position model. The record is from RNAcentral. Lineage: Bacteria; Bacillati; Bacillota; Bacilli; Lactobacillales; Lactobacillaceae.
CACUGAUCGUGGCGGGAGACAGUGUCAGGUAGGCAGUUUGACUGGGGCGGUCGCCUCCUAAAAUGUAACGGAGGCGCCCAAAGGUUCCCUCAGAAUGGUUGGAAAUCAUUCGCAGAGUGUAAAGGUAGAAGGGAGCUUGACUGCGAGACUGACAAGUCGAGCAGGGACGAAAGUCGGGCUUAGUGAUCCGGUGGUUCCGUAUGGAAGGGCCAUCGCUCAACGGAUAAAAGCUACCCUGGGGAUAACAGGCUUAUCUCCCCCAAGAGUCCACAUCGACGGGGAGGUUUGGCACCUCGAUGUCGGCUCAUCGCAUCCUGGGGCUGUAGUCGGUCCCAAGGGUUGGGCUGUUCGCCCAUUAAAGCGGUACGCGAGCUGGGUUCAGAACGUCGUGAGACAGUUCGGUCCCUAUCCGUCGCGGGCGCAGGAAAUUUGAGAGGAGCUGUCCUUAGUACGAGAGGACCGGGAUGGACGUUCCGCUGGUGUACCAGUUGUGCCGCCAGGCGCAUCGCUGGGUAGCUAUGAACGGAAGGGAUAAACGCUGAAAGCAUCUAAGUGUGAAGCCCCCCUCGAGAUGAGAUUUCCCAUUCCUAUAUGGAAGUAAGACCCCUGAAAGAUGAUCAGGUAGAUAGGCUGGAAGUGGAAGUGCAGCGAUGCAUGGAGCGGACCAGUACUAAUCGGUCGAGGACUUAACCAA